UGGCUCAGAACGAACGCUGGCGGCGUGCUUAACACAUGCAAGUGGAGCGACGAACCAGGCUUCGGCCUGGGGCAAAGCCGCGAACGGGUGAGUAACACGUGGGUAACGUGCCCCGAUGAUUGGGACAACCCGAGGAAACUCGGGCUAAUACCGAAUGUGCCCUCCGGCCACAAGGCCGCUGGGGAAAGGAAGCUUCGGCCUCCGCAUCGGGAUCGGCCCGCGGCCCAUUAGCUUGUUGGUGAGGUAACGGCUCACCAAGGCGACGAUGGGUAGCUGGUCUGAGAGGACGAUCAGCCACACUGGGACUGAGACACGGCCCAGAGUCCUACGGGAGGCAGCAGUGGG
Molecule: ribosomal RNA, 345 nt
Filed under: uncultured bacterium
Lineage: Bacteria
Description: bacterial SSU rRNA
Rfam family: Bacterial small subunit ribosomal RNA
Source: RNAcentral